CCUACGGGGGGCUGCAGUAGGGAAUCUUCCGCAAUGGACGAAAGUCUGACGGAGCAACGCCGCGUGAGCGAAGAAGGUCUUCGGAUCGUAAAGCUCUGUUGUCGGGGAAGAACAAGUACGGUGGGAAAUGGCCGUACCUUGACGGUACCCGACGAGAAAGCCACGGCUAACUACGUGCCAGCAGCCGCGGUAAUACGUAGGUGGCGAGCGUUGUCCGGAAUUAUUGGGCGUAAAGCGCGCGCAGGCGGUCCUUUAAGUCUGAUGUGAAAUCUUGCGGCUCAACCGUAGUAAGCCCUUGGAACUGAUUGGCUUGGGUGCAGGAGAGGAGAGUGGAAUUCCUAGUGUAGCGGUGAAAUGCGUAGAUAUUAGGAGGAACACCAGUGGCGAAGGCGACUCUCUGGACUGUAACUGACGCUGAGGCACGAAAGCGUGGGGAGCAAACAGGAUUAGAUACCCCUGUAGUC
Molecule: ribosomal RNA, 464 nt
Filed under: uncultured bacterium
Lineage: Bacteria
Description: bacterial SSU rRNA
Rfam family: Bacterial small subunit ribosomal RNA
Source: RNAcentral